Molecule: ribosomal RNA, 229 nt
Filed under: uncultured bacterium
Lineage: Bacteria
Description: partial 16S ribosomal RNA
Rfam family: Bacterial small subunit ribosomal RNA
Source: RNAcentral
UGUGUAGGCGGAAUAUUAAGUCAGUGGUGAAAUCCUGCAGCUUAACUGCAGAACUGCCAUUGAAACUGUUAUUCUUGAGUUCAGUUGAGGUAGGCGGAAUGUGUUGUGUAGCGGUGAAAUGCUUAGAUAUAACACAGAACACCGAUUGCGUAGGCAGCUUACUAAACUGAUACUGACGCUGAUGCACGAAAGCGUGGGGAGCGAACAGGAUUAGAUACCCUGGUAGUCC